Molecule: small nuclear RNA, 313 nt
Filed under: Camponotus floridanus (Florida carpenter ant)
Lineage: Eukaryota; Metazoa; Arthropoda; Insecta; Hymenoptera; Formicidae
Description: Arthropod 7SK RNA
Rfam family: Arthropod 7SK RNA
Source: Rfam by way of RNAcentral
GGAAGCGUGUGCUAGUGAUUGCACAGCUGAACAUCGAUCGCUAAACGUACAGAAAACUUUGGCAGAUCUGCUCAGUAGGUGUUAUCACGUUGUCGUAAGCUUCAAGUAGCUUCUGUAAAAUAGACUCCCGAUUGCGCCUGCAUCUUCGUGGCUCGUUUACGACCUCGGAUUUGCACGCCUGCACGGUUGAGUCCUGACGUCGCUCCUCGAAGUACCGCGAUUUCCAAAUUGGGGGGUAAUCGAAUAGGUAAGACGAGGUAAUUUGUCGCUUCCAUAUACAGGCACUGCAGAUAGCGGUACGCCAUUUUUUGUU